AUGCUGGGAUGAGGACAGCUGAAGGCAGUUGGAGAGGAGGCAAGGAGAAGAAGAAAAAGAGGGGAAAUAAUUGGAUUUCACAUAUGCCAGAAUUGUCAGGCUGUCAAGUCUUUCAUUGACCCAAUCAGGCCCCUUAUGGCUGCUAUUUGUCCUGGAAGAAAACACUACCAUUGACUCCAGUGCUGGCUACCACCAUGGGCAUUAUUCUCUACUGCAGCAAGUAACGGCACUUGAAUAUAAGAGAAACAUAAAGCAGGAAAUGGCAGCUUGGCUUGAAAUGCAUGGUUUUCAAUCAGCUAAAGAAAUCAACAAACUCAUCACAAAAAUCCAGUGACACACAUUGUUGCAUUGUUUCAAGAAGGAGGAACUGUAAAAGAUUACAGGUGGUCACCACCAUGAUGGAGAGGCACAAAACUGGUCUGCACUUCAAAAUGGUGGCUGGAAAGGACAUCAGAAGUCAUUUACGACCACUAUAUUUCAUGCUAUGGAUAAAGAAACUGAGUCUCUAAGAUCCAUCCACGGAUACAUGAAACCACGAUCUGUGAAACUGAGGAUAAACUGUAAACCUAGGAGCACCACGCCUGGACUUGUCACUGCUCAGGACACUGGGGAGCAUGUCACAAUAUAGAGCAGCCGUCAGAUUACUGCUCUUCACAGGAACAGGAAAGUAUAUAUCUGCAAGUUCCUUUGAACAGUUCUAAGGCUCAGCGGGGAAAUGACUUGACUAGCAAGCCAGAGGUUGCCGGUUCGAAUCCUUGCUGGUAUGUUUCCAGACUAUGGGAAACACCUACUGUAUAUCAGGCAGCAGCAAUAUAGGAA
Long non-coding RNA from Hemicordylus capensis (graceful crag lizard), 819 nucleotides. RefSeq lists it as uncharacterized. The transcript is spliced from 4 exons. Lineage: Eukaryota; Metazoa; Chordata; Lepidosauria; Squamata; Cordylidae. The record is from RefSeq and is a predicted model, not a curated record.